Molecule: small nucleolar RNA, 83 nt
Organism: Amphilophus citrinellus (Midas cichlid)
Lineage: Eukaryota; Metazoa; Chordata; Actinopteri; Cichliformes; Cichlidae
Source: Ensembl
UCUGUCGAUGAUGACUUCAUUAACUGCCUUGGUUGAGUUUAACGACAAUGAGAAAACUCACAUGCACUACCAUCUGAGACAGG